RNAcentral lists this ribosomal RNA (240 nucleotides) under Triticum aestivum (bread wheat). RNAcentral's name for it is "partial small subunit ribosomal RNA". It matches the Rfam family "Eukaryotic large subunit ribosomal RNA", at positions 1859 to 2095 of the family's 3401-position model. The record is from RNAcentral. Lineage: Eukaryota; Viridiplantae; Streptophyta; Magnoliopsida; Poales; Poaceae.
UCAGGUCUCCAAGGUGAACAGCCUCUGGCCAAUGGAACAAUGUAGGCAAGGGAAGUCGGCAAAACGGAUCCGUAACUUCGGGAUAAGGAUUGGCUCUGAGGACUGGGCUCGGGGGUCCCGGCCCCGAACCCGUCGGCUGUCGGCGGAUUGCUCGAGCUGCUCACGCGGCGAGAGCGGGUCGCCGCGUGCCGGCCGGGGGACGGACCGGGAAUCGCCCCUUCGGGGGCUUUCCCCGAGCAU